Molecule: ribosomal RNA, 465 nt
Filed under: uncultured bacterium
Lineage: Bacteria
Description: partial 16S ribosomal RNA
Rfam family: Bacterial small subunit ribosomal RNA
Source: RNAcentral
AAUCAACGCUGGCGGCGUGCCCCAGACAUCCAAGUCGAACGAUUAAACUUCCCUUCGGGGAAGAUAUAAAGUGGCGCACGGGUGAGUAACACGUAGGUAAUGUACCUUUGGGUGGGGAAUAACUUAGGGAAACUUAAGCUAAUACCGCAUAAUGCAGCGGCUCCUUCGGGAGACAGUUGUUAAAGAUUUAUCGCCUAAAGAGCAGCCUGCGGCAGAUUAGCUAGUUGGUAAGGUAACGGCUUACCAAGGCUACGAUCUGUAUCCGACCUGAGAGGGUGGUCGGACACACUGACACUGAAUAACGGGUCAGACUCCUACGGGAGGCAGCAGUCGGGAAUUUUGGGCAAUGGGCGAAAGCCUGACCCAGCAACGCCGCGUGAAGGAUGAAGUCUUUCGGGAUGUAAACUUCGUAAGAAUAGGAAGAAUAAAUGACGGUACUAUUUGUAAGGUCCGGCUAACUACGUG